Molecule: transfer RNA, 72 nt
Filed under: Camelus bactrianus (Bactrian camel)
Lineage: Eukaryota; Metazoa; Chordata; Mammalia; Artiodactyla; Camelidae
Also listed under: 3 other names
Rfam family: tRNA
About the family: Transfer RNA (tRNA) molecules are approximately 80 nucleotides in length. Their secondary structure includes four short double-helical elements and three loops (D, anti-codon, and T loops).
Source: Rfam by way of RNAcentral
GGUUUUAUAGCUCAGUGGUAGAGCUCAUGCUUAGCAUGCACAAGGUCCUGGGUUCAAUCCCCAGUAACUCUG